Molecule: ribosomal RNA, 494 nt
Filed under: uncultured bacterium
Lineage: Bacteria
Description: partial 16S ribosomal RNA
Rfam family: Bacterial small subunit ribosomal RNA
Source: RNAcentral
GACGAACGCUGGCGGCGUGCUUAACACAUGCAAGUCGAACGGUGAAGCGCCUUCCUUUUUGGUGGGUGUGGAUGAGUGGCGAACGGGUGAGUAACACGGGAGUAACCUGCCCCCUUCUUCUGGAUAACCGCAUGAAAGUGUGGCUAAUACGGGAUAUUCUUGGUCUGUCGCAUGAUGGGUCUGGGUAAGAUUUUGUUUCGGUGGGGGAUGGGCUCCGGGCCUAUCAGCUUGUUGGUGGGGUGAUGGCCUACCAAGGCGGUGACGGGUAGACGGCCUGAGAGGGUAGACGGCCUCACAGGGACUGAGACACGGUCGAGACUCCUACGCGAGGCAGCAGUGGGGAGUAGAGCACAAUGGGGGCAAGCGUGAUGCAGCGACGCCGCGUGAGGGAUGGAGGCGUGCGGGGUGUGAACCUCUUUCGCUAGUGAAGCAGGCCUGCCUGGUUUGUGGGUGGAUUGACGGUAGCUGGAGAAGAAGCGCCGGCUAACUACGUG